ACUGUGCAUGCAUGGAGGCCAGCUAAGUGGUGCGGCACCCUCUCUACAAGAUGCUGGGUUGGCUGCCGCCAGUUCUUGAAGGAUGUUGGGUGCUGGUGGCAGUCUACUUCUGGGCCAGAAGGAAAGAGAAGGUGAGCAAACAGCAGUGGUAAGAGGAACAGGAGUUGGACCAGGGCACUCUCGUGAUCAUCAGGAGACCUUCUGCUGAGCUUUGGCCUCAAUGGGUGUCAGACAAUGCUGACCCCCAACACUGGCCCUUACAACUAAGACUGCUGAUUUGGAAAAUUUCACCAACAGAAAGAAACCAGAACCUCUUUAUACUGUGAAAAAGGAAUCCUAACAGAAGUACAGUUCAGAACACAAGGCAUGACAUAUUGCACAAGAAAACCAAGUAUUGGGGGAAAGUGACCGAUCAUAGGAUGUAAUGAGAAUUGAGCCCCUUCUUCAUCUACAUAUCAGUAGAAGAUUGUGGAGAGGAAAAAACCCACUUUGGAUGUAUGUGAAUAACAGAGAGAGGACCCUCUUGUCACUAACUUCUUUAUUAAAGAUUAUCACUUUAAAGAUUUUAGUUUUAUUUAAUUUUAUUUAUGUAAACUUCUUU
This is a long non-coding RNA of Hemicordylus capensis (graceful crag lizard), 601 nucleotides long. RefSeq lists it as uncharacterized. The transcript has 4 exons. NCBI's taxonomy places the organism in Eukaryota, Metazoa, Chordata, Lepidosauria, Squamata, Cordylidae. The record is from RefSeq and is a predicted model, not a curated record.